Molecule: ribosomal RNA, 468 nt
Filed under: uncultured bacterium
Lineage: Bacteria
Description: partial 16S ribosomal RNA
Rfam family: Bacterial small subunit ribosomal RNA
Source: RNAcentral
GACGAACGCUGGCGGCGUGCUUAACACAUGCAAGUCGAACGGAAAGGCCCUGCUUUUGUGGGGUGCUCGAGUGGCGAACGGGUGAGUAACACGUGAGUAACCUGCCCUUGACUUUGGGAUAACUUCAGGAAACUGGGGCUAAUACCGGAUAGGAGCUCCUGCUGCAUGGUGGGGGUUGGAAAGUUUCGGCGGUUGGGGAUGGACUCGCGGCUUAUCGGCUUGUUGGUGGGGUAGUGGCUUACCAAGGCUUUGACGGGUAGCCGGCCUGAGAGGGUGACCGGCCACAUUGGGACUGAGAUACGGCCCAGACUCCUACGGGAGGCAGCAGUGGGGAAUAUUGCACAAUGGGCGGACGCCUGAUGCAGCAACGCCGCGUGCGGGAUGACGGCCUUCGGGUUGUAAACCGCUUUCGCCUGUGACGAAGCGUGAGUGACGGUAAUGGGUAAAGAAGCACCGGCUAACUACGUG